Long non-coding RNA from Mya arenaria, 503 nucleotides. RefSeq lists it as uncharacterized. The record is from RefSeq and is a predicted model, not a curated record. NCBI's taxonomy places the organism in Eukaryota, Metazoa, Mollusca, Bivalvia, Myida, Myidae. The transcript is spliced from 3 exons.
AUAGAAUUACACAGAGGAAGCCAGUCCACCGGCAAGGAAUUCCCAAAUAGAACGCAAUCCUCGAGUAAUCAGCAAGUGAAAAAAAUGAAAACAUCUCUCCAGGAAAAGGUGCAGACAGCUCAACUGGAAUGGUUCCAAGGACAAAACAAAAAAGUUGAGCUGGAGAUGGAGCUUUUGAGGGAAAAGAUCGCAACGUCUAGGGAGAAAAGGAAGCUGUUUAAAGCUUUGCAGACAGAGUUGAAGGGGAAAGAUGACAUGGACAUAAUUCCAUUAGUUUGUGACGAAUAGGAUUGGACCAUAGCAGAUAAGAAACAGAGGGAGAUCAUCAGAUCUGAAAAUAAAACUGUGUUAAAAAGAUGACACUAUUCAUUCUGAGUAUUAAUAAUGUUUUAAUUGAUCUCAUAUGAUAAACAUAUUGAAUUCAAAGGUUUGAAAUAUACAUUAUAACAGUGUGAUAUACUGUUGUAAUAAUAAUUAUAUUCAUUUUUUUUUUAUCUUUCAAA